Molecule: small RNA, 170 nt
Filed under: Aotus nancymaae (Ma's night monkey)
Lineage: Eukaryota; Metazoa; Chordata; Mammalia; Primates; Aotidae
Description: TUC338 (ENSANAG00000011423.1)
Source: RNAcentral
UCAAUAGGACAGGAAGCUGAGAUCAUCUGUUUGUCCACAGGACGAGGAGGAACCAAGGCCCAGCCAGCCAGCGCUUUCCCACACUGUUCCGCUGGUGACCCUCAACCCUACACCAGCACGAAGAGGAAGUCAAGCUCAGCCUCCCCCGACACUUUCUUUUUCAUUCUUUU